GCUGGAGGGAAUGUGGAACUGAGAUCUGGCCCUUAGUAUAAUCUUCUCGUCUCUUUCUCUCUCCCUCUCCCUCUCUUUCUGUAUAGAUCUGGCACGGCCUUGCUCUCUCGACUCCCAGAUCUUUGUUUCGGUGGCGGCGGCCAGAAAGAGUAAGAGAGCGCUGUGCUCUCAUUUCCCUCUGUCCCCCCCCCCUUUAAAAGUCUCCUCUUCCAACUUUCCUCCAGUUAUUCCCUCCUCAACCCGACUGACAGCAUUUGCUGAAAAAUCUACAGCUUUGUUUGUCUUAUAUGGUGGAAAUAUGGUCAUUUGCAUUGAGAAGACCUGCCAGAAUAGCAGAACAUCUGGAAAGCUGCCCAAAGUCACCAAUUCAUCAAGCCUGUUCCCCAUGUGAACAGGUACCACUGAAAGUAGCUUACGCAAUAGCUCCCCAAAUUCUGGGAAUAAUGGAAAAGUGCAGUGAACUAAGAAAACACGAAAGCCUUGCCUGA
RNAcentral lists this long non-coding RNA (488 nucleotides) under Salvator merianae (Argentine black and white tegu). Its description in RNAcentral is "lncRNA (ENSSMRG00000017948.1)". Lineage: Eukaryota; Metazoa; Chordata; Lepidosauria; Squamata; Teiidae. The record is from RNAcentral.